This 264-nucleotide long non-coding RNA is filed under the name Hordeum vulgare. Its description in RNAcentral is "long non-coding RNA (HVUL_LNC005370)". The record is from RNAcentral. Lineage: Eukaryota; Viridiplantae; Streptophyta; Magnoliopsida; Poales; Poaceae.
UUGUGCAUGAUUUAAAUUCGUUGUGCAAUGAUGAUAGAGCAUAGCCAGACUAUAUGCUCUUGUAGGGAUAACUUUCUUUUGGCCUUGUUAUUUUGAAAAUUCAUGAUUACCUUGCUAGUUUGCUUGAAUUAUUAUUGUUUCCACGUCAAUAGAAAACCAUUGUUUUGAAUCUAAUGGAUCUGAACAUUCACGUCACAUAAGAGAAAUUACAAAGGACACCUAUGCCAGGUAGCAUGAAAGCAUCAAAAGUUCAUUCUUUAUCAC